This 826-nucleotide ribosomal RNA is filed under the name uncultured bacterium. Its description in RNAcentral is "bacterial SSU rRNA". It matches the Rfam family "Bacterial small subunit ribosomal RNA", at positions 8 to 821 of the family's 1533-position model. The record is from RNAcentral.
AGAGUUUGAUCCUGGCUCAGGAUGAACGCUAGCUACAGGCUUAACACAUGCAAGUCGAGGGGAAACGAUAGAGAAAGCUUGCUUUUUCUAGGCGUCGACCGGCGCACGGGUGAGUAACGCGUAUCCAACCUGCCCACCACUUGGGGAUAACCUUGCGAAAGUAAGACUAAUACCCAAUGACGUCUCUAGAAGACAUCUGAAAGGGAUUAAAGAUUUAUCGGUGAUGGAUGGGGAUGCGUCUGAUUAGCUUGUUGGCGGGGUAACGGCCCACCAAGGCAACGAUCAGUAGGGGUUCUGAGAGGAAGGUCCCCCACAUUGGAACUGAGACACGGUCCAAACUCCUACGGGAGGCAGCAGUGAGGAAUAUUGGUCAAUGGGCGAGAGCCUGAACCAGCCAAGUAGCGUGCAGGAUGACGGCCCUAUGGGUUGUAAACUGCUUUUAUAAGGGAAUAAAGUGAGCCUCGUGAGGCUUUUUGCAUGUACCUUAUGAAUAAGGACCGGCUAAUUCCGUGCCAGCAGCCGCGGUAAUACGGAAGGUCCGGGCGUUAUCCGGAUUUAUUGGGUUUAAAGGGAGCGUAGGCCGGAGAUUAAGCGUGUUGUGAAAUGUAGAUGCUCAACAUCUGCACUGCAGCGCGAACUGGUUUCCUUGAGUACGCACAAAGUGGGCGGAAUUCGUGGUGUAGCGGUGAAAUGCUUAGAUAUCACGAAGAACUCCGAUUGCGAAGGCAGCUCACUGGAGCGCAACUGACGCUGAAGCUCGAAAGUGCGGGUAUCGAACAGGAUUAGAUACCCUGGUAGUCCGCACGGUAAACGAUGGAUGCCCGCU